This 594-nucleotide ribosomal RNA is filed under the name uncultured bacterium. Its description in RNAcentral is "bacterial SSU rRNA". It matches the Rfam family "Bacterial small subunit ribosomal RNA", at positions 907 to 1498 of the family's 1533-position model. The record is from RNAcentral.
GAAUUGACGGGGGGCCCGCACAAGCGGUGGAGCAUGUGGUUUAAUUCGACGCAACGCGAAGAACCUUACCUGGGCUCGAACGGCUAGUGACAGAGGGUGAAAGCCCUUCUUCCCUUCGGGGACGCUAGCCGAGGUGCUGCAUGGCUGUCGACAGCUCGUGUCGUGAGAUGUUGGGUUAAGUCCCGCAACGAGCGCAACCCUUGCCUUUAGUUGCCAUCACGUUAUGGUGGGCACUCUAAAGGGACUGCCGGUGAAAAACCGGAGGAAGGUGGGGAUGACGUCGAGUCCUCAUGGCCUUUAUGUCCAGGGCUACACACGUGCUACAAUGGGCGGUACAAAGGGUCGCAAACCCGCGAGGGGGAGCUAAUCCCAAAAAGCCGUCCUCAGUUCGGAUUGGAGUCUGCAACUCGACUCCAUGAAGUUGGAAUCGCUAGUAAUCGCGGAUCAGCAUGCCGCGGUGAAUACGUUCCCGGGCCUUGUACACACCGCCCGUCACAUCACGAAAGCCGUUUGUACUAGAAGCCGGUGAUUCAACCUUCGGGAGAUAGCCGUCCAAGGUAUGAAUGGUGAUUGGGGUGAAGUCGUAACAAGGUA